Molecule: long non-coding RNA, 449 nt
Filed under: Heterocephalus glaber (naked mole-rat)
Lineage: Eukaryota; Metazoa; Chordata; Mammalia; Rodentia; Bathyergidae
Description: lncRNA (ENSHGLG00000050021.1)
Source: RNAcentral
GGAGGGGGCUCGGAGGGGCGGGGCGGGAAGGGGGACGGUGGAGAUUGGAGCCACGCCCAGCCCGGGACGGAGAGGGAGCAAGGCCUCGAGACCGAAAGAAGACAGAGCGAGGAGGAGCCAUACAGGUUUCCCCAGAAUGGGCUCUGGAAUCGAGGCCCCGGCUACAAGUACCAAGCCAAAGAUCACACGAGUCUCCAGGCGCAGGGGAGAUCUUGAGAUCCUGUUUGGGGUCGUUGUGAAAAAGGUAAACUCACCUUUCAACUUGCCCUUAGGUUUCACAGCGAGGAUGCCUGAGGAGCUUGUGCAGAUGUCUGCCUUAGCUCCCUCAUGGUGACAGAGUGGCCCUGGGAUGCCUUUCUGGAGGCUACAGGGUGGAGGAGGGAACUUCAUGGAGGCAUCUGGGUUGGAGCACAAGGCUGGAGGAGUUGCAAUGGAAGUGUUCUGUGAAG